AGUGAACGCUGGCGGUAGGCCUAACACAUGCAAGUCGAACGGCAGCACAGUAAGAGCUUGCUCUUACGGGUGGCGAGUGGCGGACGGGUGAGGAAUACAUCGGAAUCUACUUUUUCGUGGGGGAUAACGUAGGGAAACUUACGCUAAUACCGCAUACGACCUACGGGUGAAAGCAGGGGAUCUUCGGACCUUGCGCGAUUGAAUGAGCCGAUGUCGGAUUAGCUAGUUGGCGGGGUAAAGGCCCACCAAGGCGACGAUCCGUAGCUGGUCUGAGAGGAUGAUCAGCCACACUGGAACUGAGACACGGUCCAGACUCCUACGGGAGGCAGCAGUGGGGAAUAUUGGACAAUGGGCGAAAGCCUGAUCCAGCCAUACCGCGUGGGUGAAGAAGGCCUUCGGGUUGUAAAGCCCUUUUGUUGGGAAAGAAAAGCAGCAGGUGAAUACCCCGCUGUUCUGACGGUACCCAAAGAAUAAGCACCAGCUAACUUCGUG
RNAcentral lists this ribosomal RNA (492 nucleotides) under uncultured bacterium. Its description in RNAcentral is "partial 16S ribosomal RNA". It matches the Rfam family "Bacterial small subunit ribosomal RNA", at positions 29 to 507 of the family's 1533-position model. The record is from RNAcentral.